ACGAGCAGUUCUGGAAACGGAAGCAUUCUAUUUAACUACAGAACAGGUACAGUACAAGGUGAUAGUGCAAGCUUCCCCCGCAGUAUGUUUCAACAUGACCUAAAAUGAUGACUUCUAGGGUUGAAAGGCAGUUCAGUCUCCAUGCCCAUUCAAUCCUUGUCUCCU
This 165-nucleotide small RNA is filed under the name Chrysemys picta bellii (western painted turtle). RNAcentral describes it as "TUC338 (ENSCPBG00000004892.1)". Lineage: Eukaryota; Metazoa; Chordata; Testudines; Emydidae. The record is from RNAcentral.